AUUGAACGCUGGCGGCAUGCCUUACACAUGCAAGUCGAACGGCAGCACGGGAGCAAUCCUGGUGGCGAGUGGCGAACGGGUGAGUAAUAUAUCGGAACGUGCCCAGUCGUGGGGGAUAACGUAGCGAAAGCUACGCUAAUACCGCAUACGAUCUAUGGAUGAAAGCGGGGGAUCGCAAGACCUCGCGCGAUUGGAGCGGCCGAUAUCAGAUUAGGUAGUUGUGGGGUAAAAGCCUACCAAGCCUUCGAUCUGUAGCUGGUCUGAGAGGACGACCAGCCACACUGGAACUGAGACACGGUCCAGACUCCUACGGGAGGCAGCAGUGGGGAAUUUUGGACGAAUAGGCGCGAAGACCUUGAUCCAGCAAUGCCGCGUGCAGGAUGAAGGGACCUCGGUUCGUAAGUACGUAC
This 410-nucleotide ribosomal RNA is filed under the name uncultured bacterium. RNAcentral describes it as "bacterial SSU rRNA". It matches the Rfam family "Bacterial small subunit ribosomal RNA", at positions 30 to 437 of the family's 1533-position model. The record is from RNAcentral.